UAGGCUGCAACUCGCCUACACGAAGUUGGAAUUGCUAGUAAUCGUGGAUCAGCAUGCCACGGCGAAUACGUUCCCGGGUCUUGUACACACCGCCCGUCACACCAUGGGAGCUGGUAACACCCGAAGUCAGUAGUCUAACCGCAAGGAGGACGCUGCCGAAGGUGGGAUUAGCGACUGGGGUGAAGUCGUAACAAGGUACC
RNAcentral lists this ribosomal RNA (200 nucleotides) under uncultured bacterium. Its description in RNAcentral is "partial 16S ribosomal RNA". It matches the Rfam family "Bacterial small subunit ribosomal RNA", at positions 1301 to 1500 of the family's 1533-position model. The record is from RNAcentral.